RNAcentral lists this ribosomal RNA (465 nucleotides) under uncultured bacterium. RNAcentral describes it as "partial 16S ribosomal RNA". It matches the Rfam family "Bacterial small subunit ribosomal RNA", at positions 28 to 507 of the family's 1533-position model. The record is from RNAcentral.
GACGAACGCUGGCGGCGUGCUUAACACAUGCAAGUCGAACGGAAAGGCCCCCUUGUGGGGUACUCGAGUGGCGAACGGGUGAGUAACACGUGAGUAACCUACCCUUGACUUUGGGAUAACUUCAGGAAACUGGGGCUAAUACCGGAUAGGAGCUCCUGCUGCAUGGUGGGGGUUGGAAAGUUUCGGCGGUUGGGGAUGGACUCGCGGCUUAUCAGCUUGGUGGUGGGGUAGUGGCUCACCAAGGCUUUGACGGGUAGCCGGCCUGAGAGGGUGACCGGCCACAUUGGGACUGAGAUACGGCCCAGACUCCUACGGGAGGCAGCAGUGGGGAAUAUUGCACAAUGGGCGGAAGCCUGAUGCAGCAACGCCGCGUGCGGGAUGACGGCCUUCGGGUUGUAAACCGCUUUCGCCUGUGACGAAGCGUGAGUGACGGUAAUGGGUAAAGAAGCACCGGCUAACUACGUG